UUUCUUAUUUAUUUUAAUUUCUUUUAUUAAUUAUUAUUAGUUCUUAUUUACUUUUAUUUAUAGAAUUCAGAUUUUUCCUUCAGUAGAGAAGAAUUGAGCUCGAUUUAGAUAGUUUGAUUUUGCCAACUAAACCGGUUGGUAGGUUAUGCGUAAGUAUUCAUAACCUACACAACUUAUAUCAAUAAAUAGACGUAUAGUGGGGAUAGUAAUUCCCUAUUUUGCUUGUAGUUCACGUUUCGUCCAUAUCUGUCGUUGAGGUCGCAUACGUUACGAACAAAAAGUAAUGAGCUUAUGAGAGAGGUUACUUUGAAAAGUUUAACUUUUUCCUGUAUUCUGAUUGGUUCUUAAAUUCGCGCCUAUACGAAUCAUUUUCUAUGCCAAUCAUAUAGAUGACUGCGCAGUAUCGUUUCUUCCUUCGUUACGAUUAGUCUUUCGCGAGCGUUGAUAAGAAUUAAUAAUUAAUUAUCUUAUGUUAAUAAAUUCUAUCGCGAUUAAUAUAAGUAUUUUAAUGUUCUGUUAUCCUAAUUAAAUAAGAGUUAAUCGUUUGUGUAAUUGUGAUUAUUACGUAUAUACGAAUAAAUUGUGUAAAAGUGUGUCCUGAAUAUGCAGCCGGUAACUUGUUGAAGUUAUUUACGAAGGUUAUCUACAAGAAACGUGUACUAUUAUAUCGUUUAUUUCUAUAUUUAGCAUUACCUUUUUAUUGAAUUAUUAGUGACUACGAGCAAGGUAGUGAGUAAUUAAUUAAAUACGUAAGUUAUUAAAAUCAGUGAUGUAAAGUGAGUGUUCGGUGAUUUAGUGCAGUCAAGAUUCUUUGAUAUAGAAUUAUAUGUAUAUUUACGAGUUACUAGAUUCAGUGUAUAUAAGUGUUAAUCAACGAAGUAAAGUCUGGCAUUUCAACAUAUCUUGAUGUCAACAUAAUACAAUUGCAAUCUACCUUUCUACUUCAAGUGGGGAUAUAUUGGAGCCAUCGCAGAACUUCAUAAGUAUGUUCGCAUUCCGUUUCGGGGGAGUUUUCCGAGCGUGUGGCAGCUCUAUUACAGUCAUCUUCGACGCAAGACGACUGCUAGUUCUCAUAGGGAACUAUCCAAGGCCAUCAUCCCUCUUCCAAACACGAAACCAUUCGAACGGAGGGAUAAGUUUUCAAGAGAAAACUCAACGAAACACAAACACAUCGCAUAAUCAUAAGACGUAUUAUACUAAUUAUUCUUGUCAAAUUAAUUCGCAAACAAUUAACGCGUUUAUAGGAUAUCGCGUGUAUGUAUCAUUUAAAAUGAACACUUUCGUUUCUCGUAUCGUUUCGUGCGAAAAAAACGAUAAGAGAAAGAACAAUCGUCCGAUUAUUUUCGCACGUUGACUCGCAUCAUCGAACAUUGAUACACUCGAUUUACUAUGUCCACAGAAAUAGCAAACCGAUUUCCUCGAGUUUACGUCGAAGUUACUAGCGUUACCGCGCAUAAGCCAUAAAUGAUAACACGGAGAAUCGUUAUUAUUAGAAUUCGAUAUCAAUGAUAGUUUGCAUUGAAUCGAUAAAAAAAGAAAGAAAGAAAAAAAGAAAGGAAGAAAGGAAGGAAGGAAGGAAGGAAGAAAAACGUAAAAGAAAAAAAUAUAUAUAUCGAAAGCCGAUUGUGGAGUUUAAGACAGGGAACAAAUUCUUGUAAGGGACGUUGCGUUAACUGAAUACAAGUUGGAUUGUGAAAAGAAUGAAAAGAACGAUUUUGUAACGAAUGAUAUUAUUCUAUUAAAAAAAAAAAGAGAGAGAGAAAAUAUGAUAUCGGUAUCGAUCGUUUAUUCAAGACUGAUAGGAGGUUACAUAAACUGCGUCAGUCAAUUUAUAAAACUAUUCUGUUACUAUUUGCGAUGUAUCUAUAAUUAAAUUAAAAAAAAAAAAAAAAAAAAAGGUAAAAAAAGAGAGAAAAAAAUUAUAAAAAAAAAGAGAGAGAAAAAGAAAAACAAGGACGACAUGAGAUAGAGAUAACAAUCGUUAAGAACGUAAUAAACCUUACGUGUUUGUCUAAUAUAAAAGAGAGUGUCACUUGGAAACUAUCUUUCUAAGCGUUAAAUUAUUAAGAGAGAAGCAGCGUGACACGUCGUAGAAAUAAGCGAAAGCGAUCACAGCAAUUCAGGUUGCUCAUUCGUCAUAAUUAAUCACAGGGCAGUCAGCCGGUGUCGCUUUAUUGGCUAAGUUACAUGCCGCGCUUACAUCGUAAUGGCACCUUUGAAUCUUCGUUUUAGUGAAAUUGCUUUCGCUUUAGUUGGACGUAAGCGAACCGAGAGUACUUAGGCUUAUAUUUUGUCAUAAUUUUGGCAUCAACGGCUAGGAGAAAUAAAAAGUGAUCGAUUUCUCGCGUGCGAGGGGGAAAAAAGAAGAAGAGAGAAAAAAAAGAGAGAUUGACUGACGAACAUGUAUACUUGCUUACGUAAAUACUUAAGACCAUUCUCGUAACGUUAUUUUUUCUGGAGGAAAAAUAGAGAAAGAAAGAAACGGAAAAAUAAAAGAAGGGAAGAGAAAAGAAAACAAAAAAGAAAACAAAAGGACACAUCGUCGGCACAAAGAUUCGUUCGUCUAAUCGUCAAAAAGAAUAUUGAAGUAGAUAUUGAUAAGGGAGAGAAGGAAUGUAUAGAUGAAAUUACGUUCGUCCUUGUUCCAUCAUUCUUUUCUCGUAAAAUAGAGUAUCGUCGGAAUAUCUUUGAAAUCGAACUCGACUAGACAAUGAUCGUUUCGCUCGUGAUCAAUGGAUGGCACUUGAGUCUGAAGGAGGCGCUAGAGUAGUAUCUAAAAAGGUGGCCCGAAAAGAGAAAUUGCGAAAUUCUCUUGUCAUUUCGAGGGCCGCCAUUGUUGCAGGCCACAGCUCCGGAAGACUGGUGUAUUGUUUCACGAUGGAAAGUAGCGAGCCACCCACCAUCUUGGUAUGAAACGAAACACACGGUACUCCCUCGGAAGACAAAUGAACGUUCUUCCAUAGCCUCUGAAGAACCUCCUUACCCCUCCGUCCAUCCUCGCACGCGUACACGCGCGCGCACUCUAGAAACUCUUGGCCGUUCUUCGAUAUCACUACUUUCUCUACCAUUACCACUACCAACCAACUACCCUCAACCCAACCACCACUAGCUUUACUACCACCAUGAAACCCCUACCGAAGCACCACUACCAAACUUACUCGACCAUUUUAUCCGUCGAUCAGAAAGUUUCGUGGAAUUAAUUAGUGGCACGUUAACCUUCUUCUCGACUCACACCGUACUUUCCUAACCGAGUCCUUACGAAGAAUCGCUUCGUUUCUUUUACUUCUCUCUUUCGUUUUCCCUUAUCUUCUCCCAUUCCCAUCCUCCUUUCCUUCGUAUUAUUCGCGAAAGAUCACGAUGCCAAACGUACGAAUACUAAUACACCUCUGAUGGUGUCAUCGAAACGAUUACGUUAACGAAAAUAUUACCGUCUCUCGCGAAAAGAAAGUUUUAGAGAUAUCGCUUAAUAAAGAACGUUCGUUAAAUGUUCUAAUCGCGAGGGUUUCAAAACGAAUAUGAACUUAAAACGAAUAAAAUUACUUUAUAUAUAUAUAUAUCGAACUGUCAUUAAGUUACAAACCUCGGCUAGGAUUUCUAAGAACUUAUAAUGGUAAGAUUAUAUUAGACUUAGGAUUAAUUUGUUAAGACUAGCUUGUAGUCUAGCUCGUAAAACCCAGCUGUCCUUGGCUUGUUACGUUUCGUUCUUGUAUACAUACAUAUACAUAAUAUGUAUAUACUUACGCAUAUUGAUAUAUAUAAUAUAUAUAUAUUCGCUUGAAAAAAAAACUUCUUCUCCUCUUUCUUUUCUCGUUUAAAAAGGCAACCGAGCACAGCUGGGUUAAGGAUCAAAAGGAUCUGAUUAAAUUGCUUCUGCAAGAUGCGUUCACAGGUGUGACAUUGACUGUAACCGGUGUUUCGCGAAAACGCAUAUCGCAGAGAGUUGAACUUUUGUUUGAAGAGUUCGGAUUAAACCCAAGAGAAAUGUAUUGCGAGAGCGAAAUGGGAAUUUAUCGAUAGAUAACUAAGUAAGAGUACGAAUAAGGAUUAAUAGAUACAGGAGUUAGAAUAACGAUAUAUAGGAAGUUUCUUGAUCGUUUAAUUAGUAAAUAUGCGGUUUGAUCACAUAUGUAGAUAUACAUUUCGAGCUUUAUUCGUGAAUCAGAUAAUAUUAUCAAUGUCGAAUAUAAAAAAAAAAUGACUUAACCGAGAUAAUAUUGAAAUGGCAUACAUUUUUUUUUUCUUCUUCUUUUUUCUAUUUCUUUUGUCAAAUACGAUCAGGUUAAGCUCGACGCACAUACUCUUAUCGACUUACAAUUUUUGAUAUUUCUAUUGAAUAUACGAUUUUGAACGUAUCGAAUGUGCUAUCGAAAUUUUUUCCCUCGAAUAUGUGUCUAGGUAAUUGGCCAUCGAUAUGAAAGUGAACACGAAGUUUGUAUACAUAGUAUAAAUUAUUAUCUAGACGAUAAGAGGCAACGGGUGCAGAACGUGAAUUUACAUAGGAAGUCGAUACGUUUGAUAAGCGUAUAAAGUAUAUCUAUGUAAAUGCACGCUGAUUUGCCGGCAGUUAAAUGAACAAACUCAGAUGGAAAAGUAUUAAAAAUGAUAAAAUAUAAUUAUAUAUUAUAUACAUACAUUUUACGAUUAAGGUGUAAUUAUCCGUUGGUACAUAUCGCUCUUGUAAUCUAAAGGAAAUAUUAUAAGUUAUAAUAGAGAGGAUCCUUUCGCAAAAAAAGAAAAGAAAAAAGAAAAGAAGAAAUUUGAGAUUUUUUCCGACUUAAAAAAAUAUCAACAAAAACUAAAGAUGUAUGCACGCGAUACAUGGAACAAAAAAAAUAAUUAACUUAUUGUAUUAUUAUUAUUAUUAUUACUACUACUAUUAUUAUUAUUAUUAUUGUCGUUGUUAAUUGUUGUUGUUGGUGUUGUGAUUGUUAUUAUUAUUAUUAUUUUUAUUAUUAUUAUUAUUAUCAUUAUUAUUAUUAUUAGAUAUUAUUACUCAAAGUACUGCCAUAAUCGAUCUCUACGAAUACGACGAAGGAAAAUAUUUCCUAAUGCGCUUAGAUUAAACAUUAUUAAUAACAUUUCAAUUUUAUCUUCCCUAGAUUUGAUAUUUUUGACACAUAGAUCGCUAUACUUUGUUAUAAAUAAAAUAUUAGAUUUUCUUUUUUUCUCUCUCUCUCUUUUUUUUUGUUUUUUUUUUUCUUUUUUUAAUCUUCAGCACAAACUCCGUAAAAAAUUUAUGUUGAAUCUAUUCAAAUGACAUUUGUAAGAUGCGUGAUACAUAAAUUACCUAUUAUACGACGUAUCAUUAAAGUGACGAAUAUAAUUGGUCACUUUGCGAAUGCGGAACAAUGAUUCUGAAUGGUCCCACGGCACAACGAAAAUAAUAAAAAAAACAGAAGUUUUUCGUUUUUUACAAA
Molecule: long non-coding RNA, 5417 nt
Organism: Vespula vulgaris
Lineage: Eukaryota; Metazoa; Arthropoda; Insecta; Hymenoptera; Vespidae
Exons: 3
Source: RefSeq, a predicted model, not a curated record